This 268-nucleotide ribosomal RNA is filed under the name uncultured Enterobacteriaceae bacterium. Its description in RNAcentral is "partial 16S ribosomal RNA". It matches the Rfam family "Bacterial small subunit ribosomal RNA", at positions 70 to 339 of the family's 1533-position model. The record is from RNAcentral. Lineage: Bacteria; Pseudomonadati; Pseudomonadota; Gammaproteobacteria; Enterobacterales; Enterobacteriaceae.
AGGAAGCAGCUUGCUGCUUUGCUGACGAGUGGCGGACGGGUGAGUAAUGUCUGGGAAACUGCCUGAUGAGGGGAUAACUACUGGAACGGUAGCUAAUACCGCAUAACGUCGCAAGACCAAAAGAGGGGGACCUUUCGGGCCUCUUGCCAUCAGAUGUACCCAGAUGGGAUUAGCUAGUAGGUGGGGUAACGGCUCACCUAGGCGACGAUCCCUAGCUGGUCUGAGAGGAUGACCAGCCACACUGGAACUGAGACACGGUCCAGACUCC